GGGAAUAUUGCACAAUGGGGGAAACCCUGAUGCAGCCAUGCCGCGUGUGUGAAGAAGGCCUUCGGGUUGUAAAGCACUUUCAGCGAGGAGGAAAGGUCAGUAGCUAAUAUCUGCUGGCUGCGACGUUACUCGCAGAAGAAGCACCGGCUAACUCCGUGCCAGCAGCCGCGGUAAUACGGAGGGUGCAAGCGUUAAUCGGAAUUACUGGGCGUAAAGCGCACGCAGGCGGUUGGAUAAGUUAGAUGUGAAAGCCCCGGGCUCAACCUGGGAAUUGCAUUUAAAACUGUCCAGCUAGAGUCUUGUAGAGGGGGGUAGAAUUCCAGGUGUAGCGGUGAAAUGCGUAGAGAUCUGGAGGAAUACCGGUGGCGAAGGCGGCCCCCUGGACAAAGACUGACGCUCAGGUGCGAAAGCGUGGGGAGCAAAC
This 424-nucleotide ribosomal RNA is filed under the name uncultured bacterium. RNAcentral describes it as "bacterial SSU rRNA". It matches the Rfam family "Bacterial small subunit ribosomal RNA", at positions 357 to 773 of the family's 1533-position model. The record is from RNAcentral.